UACGAAGGGGGCGAGCGUUGUUCGGAUUUACUGGGCGUAAAGGGCGCGCAGGCGGCCGGCCAAGUCAGGCGUGAAAGCCCCGGGCUUAACCUGGGAAUUGCGUCUGGGACUGGUUGGCUAGAGAUCGGGAGAGGAGAGUGGAAUUCCCAGUGUAGAGGUGAAAUUCGUAGAUAUUGGGAAGAACCCCGGUGGCGAGGGCGGCUCUCUGGACCGAUACUGACGCUGAGGCGGGAAAGCGUGGGAGCAAACAGG
This 252-nucleotide ribosomal RNA is filed under the name uncultured bacterium. RNAcentral describes it as "partial 16S ribosomal RNA". It matches the Rfam family "Bacterial small subunit ribosomal RNA", at positions 524 to 776 of the family's 1533-position model. The record is from RNAcentral.